UUGCAUAUCCCAAAAGCGGAGGAAAAGAAACCAACAGGGAUUGCCCUAGUAACGGCGAGUGAAGCGGCAACAGCUCAAAUUUGAAAGCUGGCUCCGGCCCGCAUUGUAAUUUGCAGAGGAUGCUUUUGGCGAGGUGCCUUCCGAGUUCCCUGGAACGGGACGCCAUAGAGGGUGAGAGCCCCGUAUGGAUGGACACCAAACCUGUGUAAAGCUCCUUCAACGAGUCGAGUAGUUUGGGAAUGCUGCUCUAAAUGGGAGGUAAAUCUCUUCUAAAGCUAAAUACCGGCCAGAGACCGAUAGCGCACAAGUAGAGUGAUCGAAAGAUGAAAAGCACCUUGAAAAGGGGGUUAAACAGUACGUGAAAUUGUUGAAAGGGAAGCAUUUAUGACCAGACUUGCGCCGGGCAGCUCAUCAGGGGUUCUCCCCUGUGCACUCUGCCCGGCUCAGGCCAGCAUCGGUUCUCGUGGGAGGAUAAGAACAGUGGGAACGUGGCCCCCUCUCGGGGGGGUGUUAUAGCCCAUUGUACGAUACUCUCGUGGGGACCGAGGUUCGCGCUCCGCAAGGAUGCUGGCGUAAUGGUCAUCAAUGACCCGUCUUGGCCACACACGGACCCAAA
This 616-nucleotide unclassified non-coding RNA is filed under the name Cytospora leucostoma. RNAcentral's name for it is "partial 28S ribosomal RNA gene". It matches the Rfam family "Eukaryotic large subunit ribosomal RNA", at positions 36 to 671 of the family's 3401-position model. Lineage: Eukaryota; Fungi; Ascomycota; Sordariomycetes; Diaporthales; Cytosporaceae. The record is from RNAcentral.